This 465-nucleotide ribosomal RNA is filed under the name Vreelandella stevensii. RNAcentral's name for it is "partial 16S ribosomal RNA". It matches the Rfam family "Bacterial small subunit ribosomal RNA", at positions 338 to 795 of the family's 1533-position model. The record is from RNAcentral. Lineage: Bacteria; Pseudomonadati; Pseudomonadota; Gammaproteobacteria; Oceanospirillales; Halomonadaceae.
CCUACGGGUGGCAGCAGUGGGGAAUAUUGGACAAUGGGGGGAACCCUGAUCCAGCCAUGCCGCGUGUGUGAAGAAGGCCCUCGGGUUGUAAAGCACUUUCAGUGAGGAAGAACGCCUGGUGGUUAAUACCCAUCAGGAAAGACAUCACUCACAGAAGAAGCACCGGCUAACUCCGUGCCAGCAGCCGCGGUAAUACGGAGGGUGCGAGCGUUAAUCGGAAUUACUGGGCGUAAAGCGCGCGUAGGUGGCUUGAUAAGCCGGUUGUGAAAGCCCCGGGCUCAACCUGGGAACGGCAUCCGGAACUGUCAAGCUAGAGUGCAGGAGAGGAAGGUAGAAUUCCCGGUGUAGCGGUGAAAUGCGUAGAGAUCGGGAGGAAUACCAGAGGCGAAGGCGGCCUUCUGGACUGACACUGACACUGAGGUGCGAAAGCGUGGGUAGCAAACAGGAUUAGAUACCCGUGUUGUC